GAGAUACGAAAAUCAAUAAUCACCCCCAUAAGAUAUGGGGUCAUGAGUCUAGAGUCUCUAAAACAAGCUGGAUAAUAAUAUCUGAACGAAAAUACCAAAAGUCUGGAAAUAUAUAUAAUAAUAAAAGCUGGAAUAGGAAGAGUAGCCAGGUCCUGUGACCGUCAAGCAACUACCUCAACAACUCUGAACAAUCAUUGGAGAUAACAACCUGCUCAGCUAAGCCUCCGGUGCACCUGAAUCUGCACACAAGGUGCAGGGAGUAGGGGUGAGUACUGCCGACUCAGUGAGUAAUAAGGAUAUAAAAUGUCUGAAGAUAAGAAAUCCGCGAAAUGCCACAAAGCAAAGCUAAAACUAACAGUCUGACACCAUAACUACGAACUAAAAGCAAAGCAAUAUCAAGUAUGUCGGUCGGGUAUCAUGCAACAAUGCAAUGCAAUGUAAAUGAAUCCGCUGCGGCAUACAGCCCGAUCCGUUUAACAUCGACGGCGCUCACUGGGGGUGUAUACAGACUCCGGAGGGGCUCCUACAGCCCAAGAGUAAUAUCAUCAUAUCACUACUGCGGCGUGCAGCCUGAUCCAUACUCAGUCCACAAUAUGCAUAUGAGUCACAUAGCAGAUUCAAUUUACUUUUCCAGUUUGCAAUUAUUGAGAAGAAUAUAAUUUAAUUAUUUAAUUUCAGAAAGUGACUUAGCGUUUCAUAACAGUGAUUAGACGCAGGACUGAGAUCAAUGAUUAUACAAAUCAUGCUAUCAUUAUGAUAUUCAUCCUAGACGGAUGCUACAAAUCGGCACAAGGCCCCAGAUAUGGCAAUAGGCCCAAUUUUCAACAAUACUAUGUGCGUAUCAACCACCAAUUUAGCACUCGGAUGGAUCAAGUCACAAUCCUCAAUCAUAUAUAAUCCUGCACCAACCAUGGGGUGCGAGUCACGCCCUAACAUAGCGUCACAAUGUGAUAAAUCGGGGUUUCAAACACGCAGGCCAUCAUCUACACAAACUACUCACCUCUAGCUGGUCGUAAAGUGGUCCGCGAUGCCUUUUUCCUAUUGUAUCGACCUCCUCACGCGUCAAAUCUAGCCAAAAUCACAAAGAAUACAUACAUACGGGUUAAAGAAACAUAACCCAAUCGAAAAUACUCAAAAUGUACUAAAAUUUACGAAGUUGGUAGAACCCGAGCCCCGGGCCCACUUCUCGAAAAAUUACGAAAGUCACAUCAAUGGAUUCAUCGUCUCUCCACGAGUCUGUACAUAUAAAAUUUAUCAUAAACGGAGUUCGUUCACCCCCCCCCCCCCNNNNNNNNNNNNNNNNNNNNNNNNNNNNNNNNNNNNNNNNNNNNNNNNNNNNNNNNNNNNNNNNNNNNNNNNNNNNNNNNNNNNCCCCCCCCCCACACACACACACACACCCAAGACUCGCAUCUACACUCUCUGGGGUUUCAAGCCCUAACCCCCAUUUUUAGCCUUUAAAUCCUUGAAGUUUCAUGAUUAAUCAAUAUUUCUACGCCAAAAUAUCAUAUUCCGAGGCUAAUAGUCCAUACGUGAUGAAAAUCCUUCGAUUUCUCCUAAAAUCGCCAAAUUCGUCUCUUCCCGAAGUCUAAAAUGUUUCUUAACUUCUGAAAUUCGCAAACACUCUUUCAUUAAACCCUCCAGCAUUUUUCACUUCUGCGGUCCUAAAACCGCCUUUCCGGGACCGCUUCUGCGGUUUCAUUAAAUCCCUGGUCUUCCGCUUUUGCGACCCAAAAUUCCGCUUCUGCGGACCUCCCUUUUAAGCUUCUACGACUCCAUUUCUGCUUUUGCGGACCCGCUGAUGCAGUUGACCCUGCAACAACACUCAAAACUCCCCAUUUAACCAUCCGACAUCACCCCGAGGCCCUCGGGACCUCAAUCAAAAGCAUUGAUUUGCCCUAAUACCUCAUUCAAAGUUGCUCGAGUCAUAAAAACACUAUCAUAAACAUCAAAAUCAUCGAAUUAUCACUUGCAUUUGAUCUAAAACCCAACCAAACGCUGUCCAAAUCAUCUAAAAAUUUGCACGUAUACCCAAAAUUACCUAACGGAGCUACUUCAACUGUUGAAAUUUCAUUCCAAGCCCCGGAUCAAAAUCUCGCCUAUCAACCAGAAUUCGCCAAAAUUCAAACUUAGCCAAUUCAAGCCUAAUUCUUCAACAGGCCUCCAAAUUCAAUUCCGAUUGCGCUCCUAAGUCACAAAUCAUCACCCGAAGCUAGUCGAAUCAUCAGAAAUCCAUUCCGAGCCCUCUAACUCAUAAGUCAAUAUUCAGUUGACUUUUCCAAACUAACUUUCUCAUAAAGAUACUAAUUGUCUCAUUUCUAACCGAACCGUAUCUGAAUUACUUCAAAUUCUCCAAACACAUAUAAUGAAACAUAUAAAAGCAUAAAACGGAGAAAACGGGGCGGUAAAUCACAUUAUGACGGGUUGGGUCGUUACAUCCUCCCCAACUUAAACAAACGCUCGUCCUCGAGUGGGUGAAAAAACAUACCUGGAGUAUCAAACAAGUGAGGAUAUCUGCUCCACAUCUCCUGCUCAGUCUCCUAAGUGGCCUCCUCCAGAGGCCGACCUUUCCACUGCACCUUCACUUACGCUAUGUCCUUUGAUCUCAACUUUCAAACCCAACGACCCAAAAUAGCCACCGGAUCCAUAUCAUAGGUCAAGUCCUUAUCCAACUGAAUCAUGCUGAAGUCUAAUACAUGAGAGAUAUAUACCGUUUCGCCCAUCGCAUAGGAUACAUCUCGAAUCUUCUGAUCCUCAUUACUCUUUUGACGCGACUGAGCUGUACGAAGUCUCUCCUGGAUCACAUUCACAUUCUCUAAGGCCUCCUGAACUAACUCUAUCCCCGAUAAUCUAGCCUCGUCGGGCUCAAACCAACCAAUCAGAGAUCUAUACCAUAUCCCUUAUAAGGCCUCAUACGACGCCAUCUAGAUGUUGGAUUUAUAGUUGUUAUUAUAGGCAAACUCCGCAAGCGGCAAGAACUCAGCCAAAGAACCUCCAAAAUCGAUAGCACAAGCACGCAACAUGUCCUUCAAUAUCUGGAUAGUACGCUCGGAUUGCCCGUCCAUCUGAGGAUGAAAUGAUGUGCUCCGUUGUACCUGUGUGCCCAACUCCCGAUGAAAAGUCUUCCAGGACUGGGAAGUAAACACAGUACCCCUAUCUAAGACGAUGGAAAUCGGGACUCUAUACAACCGUACAAUCUCCCAAAUUAAAAUAUCUGCUAACUUCUCUGUAUAAUAGGUAGUACAUAUUGGAAUGAAGUGCGCGGGCUUGGUCAGUUUAUCCACAAUAAGCCAAAUCGAAUCAAACUUCUUCGAGGUACGAGGAAGACCACUCACAAAAUUCAUAGUAAUAUUUUUCCAUUUCCACUCCGGAAUAUCCAUCCAUUGGAGUACACCACCGGGUCUCUGGUGCUCAUAUUUGACAUUCUGACAGUUGAGACACCGAGCCACAUAAUUCACAAUAUCCUUUUUCAUUCUCCUCCCCCAGUAAUGCUAUCUCAAAUCCUGGUACAUCUUCGCAGCACAUGGAUGAAUCGAAUACCGCGAGCUGUGGACCUCAUCUAAUAUCAACUCCCGGAGACCAUCCAAAUUGGGCACGCAAAUCUGGCCCUGCAUCCGCAACACACCAUAAUCCUUAAUGGUCACAUCUAUGGAAUCAUCAUGCUGGACCCUGUCAUUCAAGACAAGCAAAUGCGGGUCAUCAUACUGGCGCUCCCUGAUGCGGUCAUACAAAGAAGAUCGGGAAACCACACUAGCCAGCAGACGGCUGGGCUCGGAAAUAUCUAACCUCACCAUCUGAUUGGCCAAGGCCUGAACAUCAACCGCAAGGGGCCUCUGAAUGUACGCCAAACUACCCAUAUUAAUAGUCUUCUGGCUCAAAGCAUCGGCCACUACAUUGGCCCUCCCAGGAUGAUUCAAAAUGGUAAUAUCAUAGUCCUUAAGUAGCGCAAGCCAUCUCCGCUGCCUCAAAUUAAGAUCUUUCAGCUUAAACUAGUGCUGAAGACUGCGAUGAUCCGUAUAUACCUCACAAGAUACGCCAUAUAGAUAGUGCCUCCAAACCUUCAAGGCAUGAACAAUAGCAGCCAGCUCUAAGUCAUGAAUAGGGUAGUUCUUCUCAUGGGGAUUUGAAUGACGAGAAGCAUAAGCAAUAACUCUACCCUCCUGCAUUAAUACACAACGGAUCCCAACUCUCGAAGCAUCACAAUAAACUGAGUAAGAAGCUGAAGCUGAUGGAAAAGCUAGUACUAGAUCUGUGGUCAAAGCCGACUUAAGCUUCUGGAAGCUCUCCUCGCAUUCAUCCGACCACACGAAUGGAGCAUUCUUCUGCGUCAACUUCGUCAAAGGCAAAGCAAUAUAUGAAAAAACCUAAACGAACCUGCAGUAAUAACCCGCCAAGUCGAGGAAACUCCGAAUCUCAAUAGCUGAGGAUGGUCUGGGCCAACUCUGCACCGCCUCAAUCUUCUUUGGGUCAACCUGCAUACCAUCACUGGACACCACGUGUCCCAGAAAAGCCACAGUACUAAGCCAGAACUUGCACUUGGAGAACUUUGCAUAAAGCUUCUCCUCCCUCAAUCUCUACAAUACCACCCUCAAGUGCUGCGCGUGCUCCUCAUGGCUACACGAGUACACCAAGAUAUCAUCAAUAAACACGAUCACAAAAGAAUCCAGAUACGUCCGAAAUACACUUUUCAUCAAGUGCAUGAACGCGUCUACGGCAUUAGUCAGCCCCAAGGACAUCGGUAGAAACUCGUAGUGGCCAUAUCUCGUUCUGAAAGCCGUCUUCAUAAUGUCCAAAUACCUAAUCUUCAGCUGGUGAUAACAUGAUCGAAGGUCAAUCUUAGAUAAUACCCUUGCUCCCUGAAGCUGAUCAACCAAAUCAUUAAUGCGGGGUAGUGGGUACUUGAUCUUUACUGUCACCUUAUUCAGUUGCCUGUAGUCAAUGCAUAUUCUCAUUGUGCCAUCCUUCUUCUUUACAAAUAAUACCGGUACACCCUAAGGUGACACACUCGGGCAAAUGAACCCCUUAUCUAAGAGUUCCUGCAGCUGUUCUUUCAACUCCUUUAGCUCCGCUAGUGCCAUACAAUAGGGAGGAAUAGAGAUGGGUUGAGUUCCCGGCACCAGAUCAAUACCGAAAUCAAUGUCACUGUCAGGCAGCAUCCCCGAAAUGAAACACAUCCGGGAAAUCCCUUACAAUGGGAGCCGAAUCAAGGCUAGGAGCCUCAGCUUCCACAUCUCUCACGAAAGCCAAAUACGGCAAACAACCCUUUCCAACCAUCCGUUGGGCUUUUAGGAAUGAAAUCACCCUGUUGGGUACAUAAUCAGUCACGCCUCGCCACUCGAUCAUCGGAAUACCCGGAAUAGCCAAUGUAACUGUCUUAGCAUGACAGUCCAGAAUAGCAUGGUACGAAGAUAGCCAAUCCAUACCCAGUCAUGUCGAAAUCCACUAUGACCAAUAAUAACAAGUCAACUCGGGUCUCCAGACCCCUAAUAGUCACCAGACACUAUCGAUAUACAUGAUCCACAAUAAUACUAUCACCCACCGGGGUGGAUACGUGCACAUGCAAGGCAAGAUAACAACGGGUCGUACCCAAAUGAUGAGAAAAAUAUGAAGAUACAUAGGAAUAGGUAGAUCCGGGAUCAAAUAAGACAGAAGCGUCCCCGUGGCAGACUUAGAUAAUACCUAUGAUGACUACAUCUGAUGCAAUAGCAUCCCUCCUAUCUGGAAGAGCAUAGAAUCGAGCCUAACCACCGCCAGUACGGUCCUAACCCUUGGGGAAACCUCUGGCUACCUGGCGUCCACCCCUAGCUGACUGAGUAGGUGCCGAAGAAACCGGAGCAGAAGACGAUGGCUGAUACCUCUACUAAGACUGUCUACUAUGGAGCCGAGGACACUAUCUCCUCAUAUGACCCAACUCACCGCACUCGUAGAAACGACCUGGAGCUGGAGGAGGGGACUGAUGGGAACCCCUCGCUGCAGAUGAACCCUGGGCUGAAGAAGCAGGAGCAGUGCUCUGAGUUGGAAGGGCACUCAAUGCUGGCUGGAAGCAAAUCUAAAACUAACAGUCCGACACUUUAACUACGAAGUAACAGCAAAGCAAUAUCAAGUAUGAUAUCAAGUAUGUCAGUCAGGUAUUAUGCAAAGAUGAAAUGCAAUUCACAUGAAUCCGCUGCGGUGUGCAUCUCGAUCCGUUUAACGUCGACGGCGCUCACUGGGGGUGUGUACAGAUUCCGAAGGGGCUCCUACAGCCCAAGCGCAACAUCAUCAUAUCACUACUGUGGCGUGCAGCAUGAUCCAUACUCAGUCCACAAUAUGCAUAUGAGUCACAUAGCAGAUUCAAUUUAUUUUUCCACUUACAAUUAUUGAGAAGAAUAUAAUUUAAUUAUUUAAUUUCAAGAAAAGUGACUUAGCAUUUCAUAACAGUGAUUAGACACAGGACUGAGAUAAAUGAUAAUACAAAUUAUGUUAUCACUAUGAUAUUCAUCCUAGACGGAUGCUACAAAUUGGCACAAGGCCCCACAUAUGGCAAUAAGCUCACUUUUCAACAAUACAAUGUGCGUAUUAGCUGCCAAUAAAUUAUGUUUAGCACUCGGGAUGGACCAAUUCACAAUACCUAAUCAUAUACAAUCCCGCAUCUGCCAUUGGGUGCGAGUAACACCCUAACAUAGUGUCACAAUGUGAUAAACCGGGGUUUCAAACCCUCGGGCUAUCAUCUAUACAAACUACUCACCUCUAGCUGGCCGUAGACUAGUCCGCAAUGCCCUUUCCUAUUGUAUCGACCUCCUCGCGCGUUGAAUCUAGCCAAAAUCACAACGAAUACAUCAAUAUGGGUUAAAGAAACAUAACCCAAUAAAUAAUACUCGAAAAAUACUAAAAUUUAUGGAGUUGGUAAAACCCGAGCCCCGGGCCCACUUCUCGAAAAAUUACGAAAGUCACAUCAAUGGGUUCCUUAUCUCGCCAAGAGUCUGUACAUGUAAAUUUAUCAAAAACGGAGUUCAUUUACCCCUCUAAGACUCGCAUCUAAACUCUCUUGGGUUUCAAGCCCUAACCCCUAUUUUUAGGGAAGAUUGCAUAUGGGAGAAAGCUUAAAAAUGACACUAAUUUGGAAAAAAUAUAUUUUUUAUCUUUUUGAAAAAUGAUGGAAAAUUUAAAAUCUUUUGGAUAUUCUUUCUCUUUUUUAAUUUUUGGAAAACGAUGGAAAAAUGUAAAAAAUCGAUUAUGGGAAAAUAAUGGGAAAGUGCAAAAUCUUUUUGAAUUUUUAUUAUCAUUUUUUUUUUGAAUUUUUGGAAAAUAAUAGAAAAGUGCAAAAUCUUUUGGAUUUUAUUUUUUAAUUUCAAUUAUUUUUUUUGGUUUUUAUCGAAAAAGUUGUGAAAGAAAACUAAUAAUCGGGCCCUACUUGCUUCAUUUCCCCCUUCUUUCCCAAACAUCAGUCCGCCAAAUGACCCUCUUGCCCUCAAAGAUGCAAUAUGUAUCACAAAGGGAUGAUUGAAUGUCUUUUUGGGUCGCGGGCCCAUUUUUGACAAAAUUUGGAUGGGCUUCAUACAAAGGGACACGGUACCUAGGACUGAGCCUUGCUAGGUCUAAAUGACAUGAUGCAAAUAAAAUUGACCUAAAGGUUGACCUAAGUUUGGGGUUCACUAACAAGGCAAUUCAGGGCGGCACGUGGUCGAUGGCGGCUGCUCUAGCUUUCCGCCCACUCCACGCUCCGACGCCAACCCCCAAAAGCAUGGGUGACUCACAAAAAGGCCGUGUACGCUCAAACGUACUCCGGAAGACUUGUUGUAGAAAGAAGACUCAGGGUUAUGCAGAAGAUGACAGUUAUAAAGCAGUAAACACAUAAAGCAAAAACUGUAAACACAUAAACAAGUAGCAAAUAACAAAAUAUAAAACAUAAUAAAAAUUAGGCAAAGCUAAUGAAAAAGCAUAAAAAAAACUCAACCAAAUAUUCCAAAAGCCAAUAAGAUCAAGUAUCAGCUCGAACCUGCAACUCCCCAGCAGAGUCGUCAGAUGUCACGCCCCUUUUUAAAACAAACCCUCACUUAAUCCGCUUAAAUUAAUAAAAAGAUUUAAAUAAAGCUUGAAAAGGGUUUUUAAUUUUGAAAGUGACAAAAAUGGUGUUCAAAAGGAACUAAACUCAGAGUCACCAUCUAACAUUGGAUUUCGAUGUGCCAGGCCACCGGUUCUUAAAAAAUAUUUCCCUUUUAAAACACUUGGACUCAAACCUAAGUCUGCACCAGAGAUUCGGGUAAGGGGGUCAUUUGACUCGGGGAGAAGGCGUGAGGCACUCCCCAAGUCCCGAGAAGGUCAUGGUUUCGUACUCGAUCAGGUUGACUUUUAAAACAUUCAAAUUGAGGUAAAACACAAAGAAAUAAAGUAAACACACAAGAGGCUCUAGAUCGUCCCCGCCUAAAUAAAUGAAAAGGAAAAGAAGAGAAAAGUCCUAAGCUAAGCUAUACUACGACUUCUCCACCAUGCUCACCAAGGCCUCCAACAUAUUUACAUAGUUCUUCGGGGCAUACCCCGGAUAAUAAUAUAUACAAACUUCACGAGGCAUUCCCCAGAUAAAUUUAACUACAGAAACGACCUCUCGCCUCAAAUUAACAAAAGUUCUAAAGUUUACCCGGUGUGGUUGGCCUAGACAUACCACUAGAGAAUAAUACAACGAGAUAAAUAAAUAAAUAAAUAAAUAAAUAAAUAAAAAGAACAAAAUAAAAGAAAAAGAAAAAAAAUCUAAAUCAUGCUUAAAUUCUUUUGGCUUAUUUAUCCCAAACCCCCACGAUCCAAUUCGAUAGCCAAAACAACAAAAUGCCAAUUUACUUCACAUUUUAGACCAACUCAAUUUUAGCCUAUAAAGGUUAUGUCUCCAUUUUUAUUAAAAUAACCAAUAUUACUAACUGAAAAUCAUGUGCUUGUUAGAUACAAAAGUGAAACAAAUCGAGGUAAUAGUGCACCAAUCAAAACAGAUAAUAGGAAGAUAAAUAGUAUAACAUGGGUGGAAGAGGAGUGAACCUUCAUGUAGCAAAAUUCCUUUCUGAAUAUUGAUUUAAUACAAACCUCCGCAUAAGCUCAUCUAGCAACAGUGAAACACAAAAGCAAGAUUCAGCAGUGGCCUUGUAACCGAAACUCGAGACCUAAGACCAAAAAAGCGAAGGAGACCUCAAUGGGAACCGCGAUAAAAUUCAACAACGAACUUAAAACCUUUGGAGACAGGUUUUUGCGGCUGGUUUGGAAUCAAGUUUUUGCGAAUGGUUUUAGAGGUGAUUUACAUCUUGUUUAUCGGCUCUUUCGGGGUUGUUUUAUUCUGGGUUUGGGGUUAUUUUUAUGGAGAUUUGGAGCUGUUUUGGAGUGUUUUUGAUGAGGUUUUGGAGCUGGUUAGCGGGUGGCGUUAAUGGCUGGUUGAAGAUGGCUGGAGACGGGUGGGCGACGCCUAAAAGGAUGGUCGUUGGAAGGGGCUCGCUGGCGGCGUUGGGGCUGUGAGAGGACAGCGGCGCGGAUGUUUGUGGCGUAAGGUUGCUAAAUGUUCUGGGUGGUCCAGCAAUGGAGGUGAAGGAAGGUAGCGGCACCGUCUUGGAUAGGACGGUGGCAACUGUUGUGUUUUUGUUCUCUAGGGUUUCUUGUUGUCGUAGCUUCGGGGAGAAGAAAGGUUUGUCUAGGGUUUUUCUUGUUUUCCUCGGGUAGAAGAAGAAAAGAUGGGUUUUUCUUUAGAUUAUGAAGAAAGAAGAAGAAAGGUCUUUUUGGGUU
This 9735-nucleotide long non-coding RNA is filed under the name Nicotiana benthamiana. RNAcentral describes it as "long non-coding RNA (NBEN_LNC024257)". Lineage: Eukaryota; Viridiplantae; Streptophyta; Magnoliopsida; Solanales; Solanaceae. The record is from RNAcentral.